Molecule: long non-coding RNA, 432 nt
Organism: Helianthus annuus (common sunflower)
Lineage: Eukaryota; Viridiplantae; Streptophyta; Magnoliopsida; Asterales; Asteraceae
Exons: 2
Source: RefSeq, a predicted model, not a curated record
UUCUUUAAUGUUUUUUGACCUAAAUGUUUUAAUCGUUGGCACGUUCGUUGGUCCCUUGCGUAGCGCUACUAGCUAAUUACAUCAAACAUCUAGCUUUUUCUUUUAUAAUGAUUUGCAUACGCGAAAUUACCAAUGGUCCCAAAACAAUAGCUGUCUAUCACUAAAGAUUUUUGUUUUCGAAUUUGGAUUUUUCGCAUCAUUUCCAUGUUAACAUGCUUUUAAGACAAUGUAACCCUACAUUAACAUACUUAAAAGGCUUUCCAACAUCCAGUUUUUAACACAGAUGGUACCACUGCAAAUGCUUUAAUCACAUUGGUAGUAUAUGCAGGCAAAAGUAGAUAACAUGGGCAGAGGGAGAUUCAGAAGAAGAUGAAAAAUUUGGACUGACACAAAUGAAGCUGGAAUUUAAAAAAAAAAAAAUUAAAAUUAAAU